RNAcentral lists this ribosomal RNA (301 nucleotides) under uncultured bacterium. RNAcentral's name for it is "partial 16S ribosomal RNA". It matches the Rfam family "Bacterial small subunit ribosomal RNA", at positions 509 to 808 of the family's 1533-position model. The record is from RNAcentral.
CAGUAGCCGCGGUAAUACGUAGGUGGCAAGCGUUGUCCGGAAUUAUUGGGCGUAAAGGGCUCGCAGGCGGUUUCUUAAGUCUGAUGUGAAAGCCCCCGGCUCAACCGGGGGGGGGUCAUUGGAAACUGGGAAACUUGAGUGCAGAAGAGGAGAGUGGAAUUCCACGUGUAGCGGUGAAAUGCGUAGAGAUGUGGAGGAACACCAGUGGCGAAGGCGACUCUCUGGUCUGUAACUGACGCUGAGGAGCGAAAGCGUGGGGAGCGAACAGGAUUAGAUACCCGGGUAGUCCCUGUCUCUUAUA